AAUAUUUAGGCUUUUCAUUUUUCAAGGAAUUCUCAUUCUGCUCCUUAAACUUUUCAUGGAAAAACUGACUUCGUGCAGCCAAUAUACAGCGAUUAACGCCAACAUCAAUCCCCUCAACGACUAUUUCUGCAUCACUGUAGUUAUAUUCAGGAUUAAGCAGGAGUUUCUCAAGACUACCACAUAAAUUACUCAAAUGAUCAACACUUGGUCCUGGUUCCUGGGGACUACUGCACUCAUUUGAUACAUUAGAAGAUGCAGCAAAACUCUCGUGGCCGCUCUCCAUUGUUCAAACUUAAUUAUUGCUUUGGUAAUUAAACUAGCAAGAAUUCAUCCCUGAGAGAGCAAGAAAUCAAUAAUAUGCUCAGCAUGACCAAACAUUUAAUGACUUCAGACACCAAAUCCUUGCAUCAAGAGCAUGAAUCCACCAAAAAAAAGUUAAGUACUUAAUAUUCUAUUUCCAUGUCAUCAUCCAAAGCAAAGUUUUAAGAUAGAAAGAAAACAUAUCAUCAGCUCAGAACACCCAAAACACAAAAUGGACUUCAAGGGUAGGCUAAAAAAUUAAUCUUUUCUUGAUUCCCAAAACCUACACCUUCUUAACAACACCAAAAAUCAAUCUUUAAGCUACCCAAUUUCCCCAAACAGAGCAAAAACCUCAAGUAACAACACAACAAUGGUAAAGUCAAUCAGGUCAACGCUAGCACAAAAUCUCAAAAAAAACAAGCCUGAAUUAACAAUGAAAAAUGAGAGAAUUGGAAAUAUGAGUCCUUUUUCCCCACCCCUUAUUCUUUAAGAGCAUAAAGAUUCUAUCUUUGAGCUACCCACUUCCCCCAAACAAGGCAAAUAGAGUACC
This 850-nucleotide long non-coding RNA is filed under the name Solanum tuberosum (potato). Its description in RNAcentral is "long non-coding RNA (STUB_LNC007543)". Lineage: Eukaryota; Viridiplantae; Streptophyta; Magnoliopsida; Solanales; Solanaceae. The record is from RNAcentral.